RNAcentral lists this ribosomal RNA (253 nucleotides) under uncultured bacterium. RNAcentral describes it as "partial 16S ribosomal RNA". It matches the Rfam family "Bacterial small subunit ribosomal RNA", at positions 524 to 776 of the family's 1533-position model. The record is from RNAcentral.
UACGUAGGGCGCAAGCGUUAUCCGGAAUUAUUGGGCGUAAAGAGCUCGUAGGCGGUUUGUCGCGUCUGCCGUGAAAGUCCGGGGCUCAACUCCGGAUCUGCGGUGGGUACGGGCAGACUAGAGUGAUGUAGGGGAGACUGGAAUUCCUGGUGUAGCGGUGAAAUGCGCAGAUAUCAGGAGGAACACCGAUGGCGAAGGCAGGUCUCUGGGCAUUACCUGACGCUGAGGAGCGAAAGCAUGGGGAGCAAACAGG